Molecule: non-coding RNA, 22 nt
Filed under: Arabidopsis thaliana (thale cress)
Lineage: Eukaryota; Viridiplantae; Streptophyta; Magnoliopsida; Brassicales; Brassicaceae
Source: RNAcentral
AUCCAUACUGUUUCAAAUGGGA